GUUUCUGUAGUGUAGUGGUUAUCACGUUCGCCUCACACGCGAAAGGUCCCCAGUUCGAAACCGGGUGGAAACA
This 73-nucleotide transfer RNA is filed under the name Gadus morhua (Atlantic cod). RNAcentral's name for it is "tRNA-Val (CAC) (tRNA-Val-CAC-7-1)". It matches the Rfam family "tRNA". From Rfam's summary of the family: Transfer RNA (tRNA) molecules are approximately 80 nucleotides in length. Their secondary structure includes four short double-helical elements and three loops (D, anti-codon, and T loops). Lineage: Eukaryota; Metazoa; Chordata; Actinopteri; Gadiformes; Gadidae. RNAcentral also lists the same sequence under 1 other name. The record is from RNAcentral.